Molecule: ribosomal RNA, 393 nt
Filed under: uncultured bacterium
Lineage: Bacteria
Description: partial 16S ribosomal RNA
Rfam family: Bacterial small subunit ribosomal RNA
Source: RNAcentral
AUACGUAGGUGACAAGCGUUAUCCGGAUUUACUGGGCGUAAAGGGCGUGUAGGCGGUCUUGCAAGUCAGAAGUGAAAUUCCUGAGCUCAACUCGGGCGCUGCUUCUGAAACUGCAGGACUUGAGUGCUGGAGGGGAUAGCGGAAUUCCUAGUGUAGCGGUGAAAUGCGUAGAGAUUAGGAAGAACACCAGUGGCGAAGGCGGCUUUCUGGACGGUAACUGACGCUGAGGCACGAAAGCGUGGGGAGAAAACAGGAUUAGAUACCCUGGUAGUCCACGCCGUAAACGAUGGGUACUAGGUGUCGGGGGUCCAACCUCGGUGCCGCAGUAAACACAUUAAGUACCCCGCCUGGGGAGUACGGUCGCAAGAUUAAAACUCAAAUGAAUUGACGGGG